CAAUAGUUAAUGAAAUUCUUGAACUAUGCUGGUACUAUUCAUGGACAUGAAGAUUGUUUUGCUUGGACUGACAUAGUUAAUUAUGUUCAUGAAAUGUAAGACAUUGAUGGCUUUAGGGAAAUGUUAUUAGAUGUCACUAUGUCUAUAGAGUACAGAGAUAUCGUGCAUAGAGAGGAUAAUGUUGUUUUGAAUGGUUUCUGCUUGUAAUUACAUGAGUAUUGGAUGUAUUUCUAUUGCAUUGGCGUCAAUGGUAACGCAAUCUAUGACAUUCUAUGAUUUUACUUUGAGAUAUGAUACAUUAUCAAUUGACAACGAGAGAGAGCACGCUCGUAGCCAUUCAUGCUAGGUCAUGGAUGCAUACAAGCGUGCUCUCUAUCGUUGUCAUGUGAUUUGUACAGAUCUUUUUGCGGUAUCUAUUUGUUGCAAUAGCUAGCAGCCAACAGGUGUUUAUGAGAUUUGAUCAGCUGUUAUGUUUUCAAGGACUUGUCAUCUACCAAAUUCUAACUAGCCCUAACCCUACUUCAAAAACGACCAUCAGAUUUCAAUCCUAACCCUAAUUUUUUGAUCCAUCCUUUUAAAUUACCUCAAUUAAGAACCUAGAA
Long non-coding RNA from Hibiscus syriacus, 602 nucleotides. RefSeq lists it as uncharacterized. The record is from RefSeq and is a predicted model, not a curated record. Lineage: Eukaryota; Viridiplantae; Streptophyta; Magnoliopsida; Malvales; Malvaceae. The transcript has 4 exons.